Molecule: ribosomal RNA, 460 nt
Filed under: uncultured bacterium
Lineage: Bacteria
Description: partial 16S ribosomal RNA
Rfam family: Bacterial small subunit ribosomal RNA
Source: RNAcentral
CCUACGGGGAGCAGCAGUGAGGAAUAUUGGUCAAUGGCCGAAAGGCUGAACCAGCCAUGCCGCGUGAAGGUCAGUGCCCUAUGGGCGUUACACUUCUUUUGUGCGGGAGCAAUAAUGGUCACGUGUGGCCAGACGAGGGUACCGUACGAAUAAGCAUCGGCUAACUCCGUGCCAGCCGCCGCGGUAAUACGGGGGAUGCAAGCGUUAUCCGGAUUUAGUGGGUUUAAAGGGUGCGUAGGCUGUGAGGUAAGUCAGCGGUGAAAUGCCCCCGCUCAACGGGGUGAAGUGCCAUUGAUACUGCCUUGCGGGAAUGCGGAUGCCGUGGGAGGAAUGUGUGGUGUAGCGGUGAAAUGCAUAGAUAGCACACAGAACACCGAUUGCGAAGGCAUCUCACGAAUCCGCGAUUGACGCUGAUGCACGAAAGCGUGGGUAUCAAACAGGAGUAGAUACCCCAGUAGUC